RNAcentral lists this ribosomal RNA (253 nucleotides) under uncultured bacterium. RNAcentral describes it as "partial 16S ribosomal RNA". It matches the Rfam family "Bacterial small subunit ribosomal RNA", at positions 524 to 776 of the family's 1533-position model. The record is from RNAcentral.
GACGUAGGAUGCAAGCGUUGUCCGGAUUUAUUGGGCGUAAAGAGUUCGUAGGCGGUUACUUAAGUCUGGUGUUAAAUACUGGAGCUCAACUCCAGCAUGGCAUUGGAAACUGGGUGGCUAGAGUGCGGUAGAGGUCUCGGGAAUUCCAGGUGUAGCGGUGAAAUGCGUAGAUAUCUGGAGGAACACCGGUGGCGAAGGCGGCAUCCUGGACCGGUAUUGACGCUGAGGCGCGAAAGCUAGGGGAGCAAACGGG